GAGAGAGUUCCAGAGAAGGACGGCCGAUAACAAUAAUUUAACGGUGUUAAACAAUUUUAACGAUAGGUAUUAAUAAUCUACAUAGACUAAAAAUAUCACUUAUUAACUAUGGGAACUAAAAUGGAUAAAUUUGAAAAGUAUAGGGACUAAAUGGGUAAUUAAACCUUAUUUUUAUUUAAUCUUAUUUAAUAAACAAGUUCAUGUGAAGCAUCUUCAACCUCCUAUGGUGGAAUUGCAAAUGAACAUUUGCUCUCAUCCUCUAAUCAAUGCAAAAAUAAUGACGAAAUUAAUCCCCACUCCCUCAAAAAACAGAACCCACCUCGUACAUCGCUGCCUCUGAUUCCAAAAAAGAAGGACACAUUUACGUAACACCAUCGUGCCAGAUCCAUCGCUCGUUGUCUCUUGUUUCAUCAACCCAUCCCUGCCCAAGAGCUUUCCUUCUGUUGCCUUUUGUCAUCAACCUUCAUCCCCAUCCCUCAAAAAACAAACUCCCAAUUCAAAAAAAUACUACAAAAAAAAUCGAAAAAAAAACGACUUUGGAGCUCGUUGAUCCGCUCGUGUAUGUUGUACUGUCUACCGCCGUAAGGAAGGGCUUGGCAGGAGUGGCAAGAGCGGCGCAUUGGAGGGUGGCGGAGAACCUAAUUUUCCACUUCUUUCUCUCUCUGCAACAUUCUUUGCACACAGUUACCUAUUAUGUUUGAAGAGAAGGUCAAUGGUGUGGUCGAGUAUAUGGUGGGGUAAACCAUUAUGUUCUAAUUUUCCUGUACUUGCCG
RNAcentral lists this long non-coding RNA (773 nucleotides) under Glycine max (soybean). RNAcentral's name for it is "long non-coding RNA (GMAX_LNC002092)". Lineage: Eukaryota; Viridiplantae; Streptophyta; Magnoliopsida; Fabales; Fabaceae. The record is from RNAcentral.